AUGGGGCAGCACCUCCUGCAUGGGCGCAGGGUUUUGCCUGGCAUUCUGCAGAAGCAUUGCUGUAUCUUACCAGACAGGAAUACAGACCAAGAAGCAAGGAAGGAAUCUGUGCUUCCGAAUUUCUCAGGAGCAGAUUUGAAGCCUGGAAGGUCACUGCUGAAGCUCUUAGGCUCAACGCCAGGCUUGCUGGGAGAGGGAGCGACGGAAGACCGCGUGACAGAACCCCAUGAAUUGGCUCCACCCCGAAAGGUGCUCCUUUCCCUGCAUGGUCACCAGCGUUUGUGUCCUUCAUGCUGGGGACCGUGCAGAGCCCAUGCAUGGAUUUUCUUGGCUUCUGCGCAUCCGUGUGUGCUGCUGCCAUCGCCCCAUUUCGCAGAUGAAGAGUCAGCUGUGUGGAGCGCAGCCAGGUGUGCGGACGGGCUUUGCUCCUUGCCAUCAGACCCCAGAGCUCUUUGUCGCCACGUUUUAAAAACUGUGCUACACAAAUACGGUUUUCCUAGCUGAUUUUCAAAGAGCAUUCUCAGUACUUCCUUGUGGUCCUAUGACCUCACGCUAUAAUUAAGGGGAGAGAGGUCUUAGUGAGAAGUCACAGUGAGCAUAUUUAACUAAACCCAUGCUGAGAAAAUUGUCUGCAAGAAAUGAAUGGUUUGCAUUAAAAAGAGCCAAGCUUUAGGGGAAGGCCAGAUUUAAUGGGGCCGCAUUCAGCAGGCCCUUAGGAAUCAAUGUGGUACCUGCAAGGUCAGCAAGGUCAGAACAGGGGAACCUGUCUGCUUACCCCUCCUGGGCUUGGGAGGCAUGGGGUCAGCCAGGCCAGCAGGUGCCCCAGGCUGGGGGUGGGUCAGGUACCCUGUGAGGGAGGGGCUCAUGUGCCUUGUGGAGGGGGGUGUCUGUGUGCCCUCUGCUUGGUGAGGGGGCUGGGUGCCCCAUGGGGGGUGCGUGUCCC
Molecule: long non-coding RNA, 943 nt
Filed under: Vulpes vulpes (red fox)
Lineage: Eukaryota; Metazoa; Chordata; Mammalia; Carnivora; Canidae
Description: lncRNA (ENSVVUG00000023944.1)
Source: RNAcentral